Molecule: ribosomal RNA, 409 nt
Filed under: Nosema bombycis
Lineage: Eukaryota; Fungi; Microsporidia; Nosematidae
Description: SSU rRNA
Rfam family: Microsporidia small subunit ribosomal RNA
Source: RNAcentral
ACCAGGUUGAUUCUGCCUGACGUAGACGCUAUACUCUAAGAUUAACCCAUGCAUGUUUAUUGAAUAUAAAGAAAAGACGAACAGCUCAGUAACUCUUAUUUGAUUUGAUGUAUCAGGAUUCUAACUAUGUUAAAUUAUAGGUAACAAUAAUACAAUAAGAAUAAGAUCUAUCAGUUAGUUGUUAAGGUAAUGGCUUAACAAGACUAUGACGGAUAACGGUAUUACUUUGUAAUAUUCCGGAGAAGGAGCCUGAGAGAUUGCUACUAAGUCUAAGGAUUGCAGCAGGGGCGAAACUUGACCUAUGAUAUUAUAUUGAGGCAGUUAUGAGUAGUAUUUUAUAAUUAUUGUAGUAUUGUAAGUACAUAUUACAAGAUAAAUCGGAGGGCAAAUCGAGUGCCAGCAGCCGCGG